RNAcentral lists this ribosomal RNA (492 nucleotides) under uncultured bacterium. Its description in RNAcentral is "partial 16S ribosomal RNA". It matches the Rfam family "Bacterial small subunit ribosomal RNA", at positions 29 to 507 of the family's 1533-position model. The record is from RNAcentral.
AGUGAACGCUGGCGGUAGGCCUAACACAUGCAAGUCGAACGGCAGCACAGUAAGAGCUUGCUCUUACGGGUGGCGAGUGGCGGACGGGUGAGGAAUACAUCGGAAUCUACUUUUUCGUGGGGGAUAACGUAGGGAAACUUACGCUAAUACCGCAUACGACCUACGGGUGAAAGCAGGGGAUCUUCGGACCUUGCGCGAUUGAAUGAGCCGAUGUCGGAUUAGCUAGUUGGCGGGGUAAAGGCCCGCCAAGGCGACGAUCCGUAGCUGGUCUGAGAGGAUGAUCAGCCACACUGGAACUGAGACACGGUCCAGACUCCUACGGGGGGCAGCAGUGGGGAAUAUUGGACAAUGGGCGCAAGCCUGAUCCAGCCAUACCGCGUGGGUGAAGAAGGCCUUCGGGUUGUAAAGCCCUUUUGUUGGGAAAGAAAAGCAGCAGGUUAAUACCCCGCUGUUCUGACGGUACCCAAAGAAUAAGCACCGGCUAACUUCGUG